This 253-nucleotide ribosomal RNA is filed under the name uncultured bacterium. RNAcentral describes it as "partial 16S ribosomal RNA". It matches the Rfam family "Bacterial small subunit ribosomal RNA", at positions 524 to 776 of the family's 1533-position model. The record is from RNAcentral.
UACGGAGGGAGCUAGCGUUGUUCGGAAUUACUGGGCGUAAAGCGUACGUAGGCGGUUAUUCAAGUCAGAGGUGAAAGCCCGGAGCUCAACUCCGGAAUUGCCUUUGAAACUGGAUCACUAGAAUCAUGGAGAGGUCAGUGGAAUUCCGAGUGUAGAGGUGAAAUUCGUAGAUAUUCGGAAGAACACCAGUGGCGAAGGCGACUCACUGGACAAGUAUUGACGCUGAGGUACGAAAGCGUGGGGAGCAAACAGG